This 253-nucleotide ribosomal RNA is filed under the name uncultured bacterium. RNAcentral describes it as "partial 16S ribosomal RNA". It matches the Rfam family "Bacterial small subunit ribosomal RNA", at positions 524 to 776 of the family's 1533-position model. The record is from RNAcentral.
UACGAAGGGGGCUAGCGUUGUUCGGAAUUACUGGGCGUAAAGGGCGCGUAGGCGGUGUGUCAAGUCAGGCGUGAAAGCCCCGGGCUCAACCUGGGAACAGCGCUUGAGACUGGCACGCUCGAGUUCGGGAGAGGAUGGUGGAAUUCCCAGUGUAGAGGUGAAAUUCGUAGAUAUUGGGAAGAACACCGAUGGCGAAGGCAGCCAUCUGGACCGACACUGACGCUGAGGAGCGAAAGCGUGGGGAGCGAACAGG